Molecule: long non-coding RNA, 1278 nt
Filed under: Ananas comosus (pineapple)
Lineage: Eukaryota; Viridiplantae; Streptophyta; Magnoliopsida; Poales; Bromeliaceae
Description: long non-coding RNA (ACOM_LNC013983)
Source: RNAcentral
UCAUACAAUCCUAAUAGGACUCGUAUUAAUCAUUAAUUUUCUCGGGUCAAUAAUUAUAAUAUACAAUAAGCCCAUUUAAAAAUGUGAGUGGGUGGGCCCUUACGAAAGCCCAAACAAAUAAAAAAAAUGUGAGUGGGUGAGCCCUUACGAAAGCCCAAACAAAUUAAAAAAAAAAAAAAAAAAAGUGAGGGUGGGCCUUUAUUUCAGCCCAUUAUCAUUUGAACCCAAUAAAUUAAGGUGGGUCUGAUCAACGACGGCCCACGCCCACACCUUAUAAAGUUUCUAGUCGAAAUCCGAUUUCAAAUCAUAAUCCAUUCAAAAUUCGAAUUUCGAAUUUUGAAUUCCCAAAAUACCAUCUAAUAAUCCAUUCAAAAUUCGAAUUUUGAAUUUUGAACCCCCAACAAAUUAUCAAAAUAUCCUCCAAUAAUCCAUUCAAAAUUCGAAUUUCGAAUUUUGAAUUCCCAAAAUAUCAUCCAACAACACAUUCGAAAUUCGAUUCGAAUUUCGAAUUCCUAACCAAUUUCCAAAACAUCCUCCAACAACCCAUUCGAAAUUCGAUUUCGAAUUUCGAAUUCCCAACCAUUUCCCAAAAUAUCAUCAAACAACCCAUUCGAAAUUCGAUUUCGAAUUUCGAAUUCCCCAACCAAUUUCCCAAAAUAUCAUCCAACAACCCAUCCGAAAUUUGAUUUCGAAUUUCGAAUUCUCAACCAAUUCUCAAAACAUCAUCCAACAACCCAUUCGAAAUUCGAUUUCGAAUUUCGAAUUCUCAACCAAUUCCCAAAACAUCAUCCAACAACCCAUUCAAAAUUCGAUUUCGAAUUUCGAAUUCCCUAACCAAUUCCCAAAAUAUCAUCUAACAACCCAUUCGAAAUUCGAUUUCGAAUUUCGAAUUCUCAACCAAUUCCCAAAAUAUCAUCCAACAACCCAUUCAAAAUUCGAUUUCGAAUUUCGAAUUCUCAACCAUUUCCCAAAACAUCAUCCAACAACCUAUUCGAAAUUCGAUUUCGAAUUUCGAAUUCCCAACCAAAUUUCCAAAAUAUCAUUCAACAACUCAUUCAAAAUUCGAUUUCGAAUUUUGAAUUCCCUAACCAACUCCCAAAAUAUCUUCCAACUAUCCAACAACUCAUUCGAUUUCGAAUUCGAAUUUUGAAUUCCCAACCACUCCCCAAAUAUCCUCCAACCAUCCAACAAAUAAUUCAAAAUUUGAAUUUCGAAUUUUGAAUUCUUAACUAACUCCUCCCCUCCCAUUAUAAAUACGGGAACCGAAAUCAAAUUCAG